Molecule: unclassified non-coding RNA, 3286 nt
Filed under: Leishmania donovani
Lineage: Eukaryota; Euglenozoa; Kinetoplastea; Trypanosomatida; Trypanosomatidae
Description: gene:LdHU3.27.2360(CDS-product:WD_domain_G-beta_r epeat_putative)
Source: RNAcentral
CAGUGCACGAGAUUACGCGCACGUAGAGCAUCUCGGUGACGAAUCAACUCAAUCAUGUCAGCGACCGCUGUGCCAAAGGUGUUGACCCCGCAUCCUGCGAAACUAGCCUCUGAUGUUUUCGUGGCGGCGGCGGCUACCGCGGCCACCAAGGCGGCGUCCGCUGCCUCUGGCAGCGCAGCAGCUGCCUCAGCUGCACCGAUUGAGCUCGUCACCAAGGAGCUGCUUCAACUCGCUGAAGAGCUUCGCGUCGUCGUGCCACAGGGCACUUGGAUGAGUCAAGGCAGCGAGGAGGAAAUUCGAAAGCGAACUGACAAAGACGCUGUGGGUGCACCGGCCAUACCGAGUCGCCUACCCAUCACGGUCCACUUCGAGGUUGCGCGGCACGCCAUUCUGCGUCACCGCACUUCGGCGCACAAGAACUACGUCACAAAGGAGGCGAGCGAGGACAGCCGCGACCUGCGAUCAGUCGACAACCCACUUUACGAGGUGAUGCGCGACGAGGUGGACACCGGCGUGCAGGCCGUGCCACGGCGGACGGUGGCCUCGACGCAAACGCACCACGCCCGGCGCGUGAAUGCGGUGGCGCAGGCAGAGCCGACAGCCGUGGAUGCGUGUAUCCGGCACGUGCCGCCGCCGAAGGAGGAGCAGCCGAACCUCCGCGCGUUUAUGGAGAAGGUCCUCCCGCGCACUCUGCUCUGCCUGACGCAGAACUACCAGAUUCCCAUCUACACUGACGACUUUCGCAACUUCACCGAAGACGACGCGGUCAUCGCCACGCAUGACGAGUUGGUCCUGAUCGAGAAAGCCAAUUACGUCCACAGCUCCACGAAAGGGCGGAAGGUGAGCGGGGUGAGCUGGCGCAGCGGCCGGAAGCGCGAUCACUUUGUCUGCGUCGCCACGAUCGGCUUGCAGACGUUGCCGGAGCGGCUGCAGGCGAAUCGGCGGUGUGAGAGCAGCGUCUCCCUUGUGUGGGACUUGAGCGACCCGAUGCAUCCUCGCUACUUGCUCGAGGCCCCAGAGGAGGUCCAGGUGCUCCACUUCCAUCCAUCGGAGCCCAACUUGGUUGCCGGCGGCUCCCUCAACGGCCAGGUUUUUCUCUGGGAUCUCAGCAAGGCCGACGUCGCCAGCUUCUUCUCCAGUGCGAAACAGCACAAACAGAAGCAGAAAUCCAACACGGCAGCGGCUGCCGCUGUGGACGGUGGCGGCGGGGAGACAGGAGAAUUUCGGGAUGUGGGCGAGGUGCCUCGCAUGCCGGACAGCCUUAAGGGUGUUAGCCUCGAGGUCGACGGCGAUGUUCAGGUGCCUUGUCUGCAGCCGUUUCAGCAGUCGCGCGUCGAGGUGUCGCACCAGGGCCCGGUGCAUGACCUGCAAUGGCUACCCGACAGGCUUGAGUUCGGCUUUGACGGCAAGCAGACGGUCGUGAACGAGACCCACCAGUUCGCCACCAUCAGCGAAGAUGGCACGAUGCUUGUGUGGGACACGCGCCCGCAGUAUCUGCCGCAGGAUAAACUGCGCAAGAUAAAGCAUCAAAGCCGCAGCGGCGGAGGCGAGCAGCCGUGGGUGCCGCUGCUGCGCUAUCAGCUGACGAAGCCGGACGGCACGGGCGAGAUGCCGGGUUUUCGCUUCUUCUUAAGCGGAUGCACAGUGGAUGCGGCCCCUUCCUAUGCGGCUGCGGUCGCCAGUGCUGACGGCGAGCUUGGGUUCUGCUCCAUGAUCACUCAGCACGAGCGGCGAUCCUCGAUCGUCGUCCCCACCUUCGGGUACACGAAAGACACGCGGUUCGUGCGGUCGGUGGCGCCGGUGGCGCACGCCGGGCCCGUCUACUCCGUGCAACAGCACCCGACGAUUGGAGACGUGUAUCUGACCUGCGGUGAUGGCUGCUUCAAGGUUUGGCGCUAUGGGCUUCUCAUGCCGCUGUACGAAUGCCCGCAGAGGCCUGGGAGUGUCAUGUGUGCGGCUUGGUCUCCAGCCCGCCCCGGACUCAUUAUCAUCGGCACGGGCAAUGGCAUGGUGGAGGUGUGGGACCUGCUCGACCGAAACCCCGAACCGAUGCUGACACAUCACUUAGUUCAGGAUGCCAUCACAUCCAUCGCCUUCCAGCCGUUGCCGCACCGCGUGACACGUCGGUACUCGCAGCAGCUGCUGCUCGGCACCAACCUCGGCUCUUUUCACUGGUACAUCCUGCCCCCGGCGCUGUCGCGCGCGUCCAGCGGGGAGAGGAAAUAUAUGCGCGCUAUGCUUGAGCGUGAGACGCGGCGCGUCGCCUACUACGACUGGCGCUGGUCCGAGCGACAGUCUGAGAUCGAUCGCUUUGGCCUCCAAGGUGCAGCGGCACGGCUGCGCGGCACGAUUGCGCAGACGGCGUCGAGCAGCGGCGUGGCUGGGGUGCCCGGGAAGGAGAAGAGUGAGUCGGAUGACCCAUUACUCGUCGAGCGUCGGCCAGACAAGGAGGCGGCGGACUUGAGGGAUCUGGACAACCCGUACGCGCAGGACCCUCAGCGAGAUGAGGAGUUCCUGGAGAUGGUGGAGAAGCUGCAUCAGAAGGAACUGGAACACAUGGAGUUGGAGUCGGCCGCCUGAGUCGCUUGAAGCAGCCGUGUGGCGCGCUUCCUGGCCUUCGCUGCAGGCCCCCUUCUCCCGAUGUUUGGCGACGGAGUCCGCACUUGCCUUUUUUUUCUUGGUGUGUCUGUGUGCGUCUGCGUGUGAGUUGCUGAUGGUGGGGUAUUCGUGUAUCUUCUGCCUCCCCCCUGCUGCGUGGGGUUGCCGCCGCGCGGCAUGACAUUAGUGCGAGGCGUGCUGAGGUUUCUCGUCCGUGUCCUUCCACGCCUCCACGCCGAAGUGCCCUCGUCGUGCUUUCUUCCAUCUCUUCGCACCUUGGCGAUUGCGCCUGCGCGUUGCAGCUCUGCAGAUUGCAGGACCGAGUGAUGCACCACCCCAGUUGAAUGUACAUAGAUCUUCCCCCUUCUCGCUUUAUGUACGGUGCGAUGGCGAGUGAAAAGAAGGAUGCAGAUGCGGAUGUGUGUUUGCGUGCGUGCGUCUGAUUGUGCGCGCCUGUGAUGUAGUAAAAAAAGCCCACGGCUGCUGCUUGCCGUGCGACGACCUUGCUCACCUGCCCUGCUUCACCGCGCGUGCACCUUGUAUAGCAGCGAAGAGAGAGAACGGGUGGAGCAGGGGGAAGCUGAAAGGUUUCAUGGCCGCGCCACUCUCAAGCUUGCAUGUAGUCUCACACAAAAUAGACAGGCAUUAGAACGAAGCAUCCUUUUGCCAGAGUCGCUCCACUAGUUUU